Molecule: ribosomal RNA, 1508 nt
Filed under: Salmonella enterica
Lineage: Bacteria; Pseudomonadati; Pseudomonadota; Gammaproteobacteria; Enterobacterales; Enterobacteriaceae
Description: partial 23S ribosomal RNA
Source: RNAcentral
AGCGGGUGAAAAGCCCGCUCGCCGGAAGACCAAGGGUUCCUGUCCAACGUUAAUCGGGGCAGGGUGAGUCGACCCCUAAGGCGAGGCCGAAAGGCGUAGUCGAUGGGAAACGGGUUAAUAUUCCCGUACUUGGUGUUACUGCGAAGGGGGGACGGAGAAGGCUAUGUUGGCCGGGCGACGGUUGUCCCGGUUUAAGCGUGUAGGUGUGUGUUCCAGGUAAAUCCGGUUCACUUUAACACUGAGGCGUGAYGACGAGGCACUACGGUGCUGAAGCAACAAAUGCCCUGCUUCCAGGAAAAGCCUCUAAGCAUCAGGUAACAUCAAAUCGUACCCCAAACCGACACAGGUGGUCAGGUAGAGAAUACCAAGGCGCUUGAGAGAACUCGGGUGAAGGAACUAGGCAAAAUGGUGCCGUAACUUCGGGAGAAGGCACGCUGACAYGUAGGUGAAGUGRUUUACUCAYGGAGCUGAAGUCAGUCGAAGAUACCAGCUGGCUGCAACUGUUUAUUAAAAACACAGCACUGUGCAAACACGAAAGUGGACGUAUACGGUGUGACGCCUGCCCGGUGCCGGAAGGUUAAUUGAUGGGGUCAGCGCAAGCGAAGCUCCUGAUCGAAGCCCCGGUAAACGGCGGCCGUAACUAUAACGGUCCUAAGGUAGCGAAAUUCCUUGUCGGGUAAGUUCCGACCUGCACGAAUGGCGUAAUGAUGGCCAGGCUGUCUCCACCCGAGACUCAGUGAAAUUGAACUCGCUGUGAAGAUGCAGUGUACCCGCGGCAAGACGGAAAGACCCCGUGAACCUUUACUAUAGCUUGACACUGAACAUUGAGCCUUGAUGUGUAGGAUAGGUGGGAGGCUUUGAAGUGUGGACGCCAGUCUGCAUGGAGCCGACCUUGAAAUACCACCCUUUAAUGUUUGAUGUUCUAACGUGGACCCGUAAUCCGGGUUGCGGACAGUGUCUGGUGGGUAGUUUGACUGGGGCGGUCUCCUCCUAAAGAGUAACGGAGGAGCACGAAGGUUGGCUAAUCCUGGUCGGACAUCAGGAGGUUAGUGCAAUGGCAUAAGCCAGCUUGACUGCGAGCGUGACGGCGCGAGCAGGUGCGAAAGCAGGUCAUAGUGAUCCGGUGGUUCUGAAUGGAAGGGCCAUCGCUCAACGGAUAAAAGGUACUCCGGGGAUAACAGGCUGAUACCGCCCAAGAGUUCAUAUCGACGGCGGUGUUUGGCACCUCGAUGUCGGCUCAUCACAUCCUGGGGCUGAAGUAGGUCCCAAGGGUAUGGCUGUUCGCCAUUGUGUUCGGGUUGUCAUGCCAAUGGCACUGCCCGGUAGCUAAAUGCGGAAGAGAUAAGUGCUGAAAGCAUCUAAGCACGAAACUUGCCCCGAGAUGAGUUCUCCCUGAGACUUAGAGUCUCCUGAAGGAACGUUGAAGACGACGACGUUGAUAGGCCGGGUGUGUAAGCGCAGCGAUGCGUUGAGCUAACCGGUACUAAUGAACCGUGAGGCUUAACCUU